UUUAGAAAACAAAAGGAACCUGCUUUCUAUCAAUUCCUUCUGCAUUAGGUUAAAUAGAAGUCUCGGAACACUAAACCCAGGAUACAUACAAAAGAAGAAAGAAAGCCUAUUACCUCAAGCCCUAGGAACAGAUUCAAUGAGGCAGCAGGGUGUCGCUAGCCUACCGUAUGUACAGAAUAUACCGGUUCAGAAUCCAUGACAGCAGCAACUACCAUGUACCGAAGCUGCAGCUCACAUGCUCUUCUGUGAUCUUCUGCAGCUGGUUUUCCAUCAUUUUCAAGGAUGUGUAAGGAGGGAGGCAGAGCCGGUAGAAGCAGGUCUGCGAUGAUGGGAGCCGGUCGGGCGAAUCUGAUGUCUUGUAAAUAAAAAGUUUGGAGCUCAGUCCACAAAACCCGUCUGAUGGUAAAUACUUCACCGAAGUCCAGAAGAAGAGGAGCUGCCUCUGUCUCUCGAUUGACAUGCGCUCCACAGCCUGCAGUGUCAACAGAUACGUAUUCAGGCGUGCACAAAACUAGUUGCCACUACAUAAUAGAGCUUCUACAUAAGAAAGAUAUAGAUUUCAGCUGGAUUUAUAAACUGAUAUGCAUGCAAGGUAAUAAGGGACAUCUUUUCGUUCUUUUGUUUCAUAACCGUGCCUCAAACAAUACUAAAGCAGCACAACAGGUUGUUACUUUUAUCACAACACGUCACAGUCCAAUAUAUAAACACUGGUCCAUAUCAGGUAACAGCACCAGGUCCUGGCUCCUGUUGAUGGAAGCUCCA
RNAcentral lists this unclassified non-coding RNA (762 nucleotides) under Zea mays. RNAcentral's name for it is "misc RNA Zm00001eb101790". The record is from RNAcentral. Lineage: Eukaryota; Viridiplantae; Streptophyta; Magnoliopsida; Poales; Poaceae.